This 402-nucleotide long non-coding RNA is filed under the name Trifolium pratense (red clover). RNAcentral's name for it is "long non-coding RNA (TPRA_LNC006849)". The record is from RNAcentral. Lineage: Eukaryota; Viridiplantae; Streptophyta; Magnoliopsida; Fabales; Fabaceae.
AAAAAAAAUGAAUCUGUAAAUAAAAACGAAAAUGGAUCUGAAGUGCAUACCUUACUUCAUAAUUUUCUCGCCGCUGGGUUUGUCAAAAGUGAUGGAGAAACGAAGGAAUCUCUCAAAUUUGUGUGUAGAGAGGAAGCUUGACCCUUUUAGUUCAAAGAAAUCAACAAAAGAUGGAGAGAGAUGAGUAAGAAAAUUUGUAGAUAUUGAAAGAGAAGGAGAAAUUGAAUUUUGAAAUUCAAACGGUAGUAUCAGCGCUGCAAAUGAAAGUGACGUACAGGAGUUUUAACUUGUUCAUCCACGUGUGGGCUUGCCAUGUUUGAAUGAGGUGGGACAGAAGAAGCUUGCAUAGAUUUGGGAUUUUGAUUUGUUUUUGAAUAAAUUGUUUCUUACUUGUUAGCCAAA